GACUUUGAUUUUCCUGUAUCCAGUUCUUUGCUGACUGCGGCUUCCCCUGCCCGAUUAGAAGAAACCCACCGGAUCAUUUCCUCCGGUGCAUCACUCCAGAGUUCGAUCAAGUCUUCACCGCCCUGAAGCAGACACAAAGAAUGAACUAUGCUGUGAGUUAGUAGUCCAACACAGCUAUUUCUACAGUUUCAUUGCAAUUUUUUAAGGAGCAAAUAGUAGCAGAUUAGUUCCUUGUCGCUAUAAUAGUUAAAUGAUCAGGAAGAAGCUAAAUGAGGGACAUGCAGGUCUUUUUGACAUUGCAACAUCACUAAUCUUGAUUGCCCCAACUACCCUUAUUAUCCAUAGUCCACACUAAAAGUAGGAGCACUGAAUACAUAAGAUAAUGAUAUGUAACUGCAAGGUGCAUUUUGUAGCUUUCAGGAAACAAAAUAAUCACUUGUCAGCUUAUAGAAAAACAAUGGAAAACGUAUAGCGUACCAGUUACCAAUGAAUUCACUUUUAACUGAUGCAUGUGGAAGAAAAUCUGGUUGAAAUGGAUAUAGGAACUCCCAGCGACAGAUGGCUUGCUGAACUGGACAACUGCAGAGACCAGAGCAACACUAGUGAAGAAGUACAACUCAUCCGGC
This 626-nucleotide long non-coding RNA is filed under the name Linum usitatissimum (flax). RNAcentral describes it as "long non-coding RNA (LUSI_LNC004432)". The record is from RNAcentral. Lineage: Eukaryota; Viridiplantae; Streptophyta; Magnoliopsida; Malpighiales; Linaceae.